GCUCCAAUAGCGUAUAUUAAAGUUGUUUGCAGUUAAAAAGCUCGUAGUUGUACCUGUGGCUGUCGUGUGCAGCCUGACACUCGGUGUUAGUGAUUGCAUGCGUCACCAUCCUUGGGUGGAAUCUGGCUGGCAUUAGGUUGUCGUGCAGGGGAAGCCAUCUUUUACUGUGAAAAAUUAGAGUGUUCAAAGCAGGCUUAUGC
Molecule: ribosomal RNA, 200 nt
Filed under: uncultured eukaryote
Lineage: Eukaryota
Description: partial 18S ribosomal RNA
Rfam family: Eukaryotic small subunit ribosomal RNA
Source: RNAcentral